This 891-nucleotide ribosomal RNA is filed under the name uncultured organism. RNAcentral describes it as "bacterial SSU rRNA". It matches the Rfam family "Bacterial small subunit ribosomal RNA", at positions 571 to 1460 of the family's 1533-position model. The record is from RNAcentral.
GCAGGGGGCACUUCAAGUCUGCGGUCAAAAGGUCGGAGCCUUAACUCCGGUUCGGCAAGUGGAAACUGGAGUGCUAGAGGCAGACAGGGGUAGAGGGAAUUCCCAGGGUAGCGGUGAAAUGCGUAGAGAUUGGGAAGAACACCGGUGGCGAAAGCGCUCUACUGGGUCGCACCUGACCCUCAGGGACGAAAGCUAAGGUAGCGAAAGGGAUUAGAUACCCCUGUAGUCUUAGCCGUAAACGAUGGAUACUAGGCGUGGUUUGUAUCGACCCAAGCCGUGCCGAAGCUAACGCGUUAAGUAUCCCGCCUGGGGAGUACGCACGCAAGUGUGAAACUCAAAGGGAUUGACGGGGGCCCGCACAAGCGGUGGAGGAUGUGGUUUAAUUCGAUGCAACGCGAAGAACCUUACCAGGGCUUGACAUCCCGCGAAUCUUGCUGAAAGGUGAGAGUGCCUUCGGGAGCGCGGAGACAGGUGGUGCAUGGCUGUCGUCAGCUCGUGUCGUGAGAUGUUGGGUUAAGUCCCGCAACGAGCGCAACCCUCGUCCUUAGUUGCCAGCAUUAAGUUGGGCACUCUAGGGAGACUGCCGGUGACAAACCGGAGGAAGGUGAGGAUGACGUCAAGUCAGCAUGCCCCUUAUGCUCUGGGCGACACACGUCCUACAAUGGUCGGGACAAAGGGGAGCAAGCUCGCGAGAGUAAGCGAAUCCCAGCAAACUCGGCCUCAGUUCAGAUUGCAGGCUGCAACUCGCCUGCAUGAAGGAGGAAUCGCUAGUAAUCGCAGGUCAGCAUACUGCGGUGAUUCGUUCCCGGGCANUGUACACACCGCCCGUCACACCAUGGAAGCUGGCCAAGCCCGAAGUCGUACCAUAACCGUUUGGAGGGGGGCGCCGAA